Hippocampus zosterae (dwarf seahorse) is the source of this 1955-nucleotide long non-coding RNA. RefSeq lists it as uncharacterized. The record is from RefSeq and is a predicted model, not a curated record. Lineage: Eukaryota; Metazoa; Chordata; Actinopteri; Syngnathiformes; Syngnathidae. The transcript is spliced from 2 exons.
UCUAAUUCAUUCACGAUAGUGUUUCCGUCUUCUUCUGUUCUCUCUUCUUGCUCGGUGUGUUACAUAAUUCACUUCUCACUCCUCACACUCCUCAUCCUCCUCUAGUGUUCACAAUAUUUGUCAGGAUUGUAGCUUAUUCGCCACCAAGAGCAAAUGUGGGUGUUACUUAAUUUUUUUUUCAAUGGAUGGCUUUAGAAACAUUUGAGUUCUUCCCAGGUUUAAAAAAAAUCAACUGUUAAGGGUUUUUUUCCACAAUGACAGAGACCACCUGUCAGUGCUACUUUUAACAUUUGAAUUUAGAGUUAUUACAGACUAUGAUUACAGAGGUUUGAGAUGAGUUAUAGUUCCAUUAUUUCCGAUGGGGAAAAAUUAGUUGGUGUUCAACCUGAACGGCAACACUUUAUUUAGUAGGUUCACAGCCAGCAUCCAGUGUACUUUUCAAUCCGUCUGAAAGCAUAUUUCUGGAUAACCUAAGACAACUAACAACGUGUCCACUUCUAUCUUUUCCGGCCUAUUUUGGGUUCGCAGGGAUAUUUUGUUACACUUCCAUUGUUGCACAAUGACAUUUGACUUUUACUGCCUCUUGUUAAAGAUACCUCGGAAAUAAAGUUUAUUAGGCGCAAUCAGUUGUUUUGUCUUCGCUUGUACUGUGAGGCAAGACGGCUGCACCGCUUUAUUGUUUUGUUGAUGGCUUUCCAACCCCGUGGUUUGAAGAAUAUGCAAAAAGACACGUGCGGCUUAAGUCGUUCCAUUACUGCGUACAUCUGAGGAGUACUUUUAUUUGGAUGAGUUUUAUCUCGGUUAGGAAACACUUUGCCCACCAGAUCCAUCUCCCUUUUGUACAGUAAAUAGAGUCAGGAGGGUUUGUUUGGAGGGAUUACGUAACGCACACAUAAACAAAGGGGGCCUGUCAUACAUUUGGCUUCAUAUGCGGUUUAUUUGUUCCAGCCCGUGUUUGAGAAUGAACAGUUGCACGUGGCGUGCGCGCGCACACUACAGUCUAUUUCUCACGAGAAUUUUGUAGGAUUCCCAACUGAAAGUGAGCAUUUUCAUGAAUGUCUGGCCAAAGCAGUUCGAAAGGCUGGUCCACCUAAAAUAAUUUUUCCCAUUAAAAUAAUAAAAAUGUAUUGUAUUUGAUCUUAAAACAUUUAUUUAUUGUGGAGGGAGCAUAAGUGAUAUUUGAUUUUAAAUUUGUAAUUGUGUAAAAAAAAAAAGUGUAAAGUGACGCUAAAUAUUGUCAGUGUUCUCAUUGUUAUCAGUUUGUGCGUUCUUGUCUAUUAAAAAAAAAGCUUAGAUAUUUUUAUAUAUACUGUAUCUGUCGACUGCUGGCUUUUAGGUAUUUGACAAAGUGACGGGAGAGGAGCUUAUAACUGUGUGGGGCCAAAAGAAGGGGGGCUAUUGUGAUGAGCAUUACAUGUGUUGGCCAUGUCUACAUGAAGGGUUACUGCCCGCUCUGUGCACUGUGAUGGACACCUACCACCCCUAGCCCCCUUCAUCUUUUGAUAACUUGGGAGUUUGGGGGCCUCGGCUGGGAUGUCACAGAUUGUGUGGGUGCGUGUUCACUGUAGUACUCUGGCAAGUGUCCAUUCUUACAGUGGUUGCAUAGCAGCGCGCCAUUGUUAAUCGGGCCAUUUCCCACGACCACCAUCCCCCAUUCACACGUGCACGCAAGCACGCACGUUGGUUCACUCCCUCAACCCGUCUCGAUCACCCUGUCUGUGCCUGUGCCAUCUUUUGUCUUUGGUCGGAAAAUAGCUUCCACUUCCGAUGUCCAUUCUUUCCGAGUUAGUGACUCAAGCCCACGUGACACAUGGAAGUGGUCACCAUUUAGUCAGUCUAAUUAAAUUGGAAUGAACUAUUGAAAAUCAACGUGGGCCUUACGCAUCGGUAAGUUGAUUUCGAUUUUGUAAACGUACAUGUAAAAGUACAUAGUAAAUGAUACGGUUACAAAAAAA